AUACGGGAGGCAGCAGUGGGGAAUUUUCCGCAAUGGGCGAAAGCCUGACGGAGCAAUACCGCGUGAGGGAUGGAGGCCUAUGGGUUGUAAACCUCUUUUUUCAGGGAGGAAUCAAUGACGUGUACCUGAAGAAUAAGCAUCGGCUAACUCCGUGCCAGCAGCCGCGGUAAGACGGAGGAUGCAAGUGUUAUCCGGAAUCACUGGGCGUAAAGCGUCUGUAGGUGGCUAAUUAAGUCAACUGUUAAAUCUUGAGGCUUAACUUCAAAAUCGCAGUCGAAACUGGUUGGCUAGAGUAUAGUAGAGGUAAAGGGAAUUUCCAGUGGAGCGGUGAAAUGCGUAGAUAUUGGAAAGAACACCGAUGGCGAAGGCACUUUACUGGGCUAUCACUAACACUCAGAGACGAAAGCUUGGGUAGCAAAUGGGAUUAGAUACCCCUGUAGUCCC
Molecule: ribosomal RNA, 444 nt
Filed under: uncultured bacterium
Lineage: Bacteria
Description: bacterial SSU rRNA
Rfam family: Bacterial small subunit ribosomal RNA
Source: RNAcentral